RNAcentral lists this unclassified non-coding RNA (352 nucleotides) under soil metagenome. RNAcentral's name for it is "partial contains 5.8S ribosomal RNA, internal transcribed spacer 2, and large subunit ribosomal RNA". The stretch from base 1 to 120 matches the Rfam family "5.8S ribosomal RNA", at positions 35 to 154 of the family's 154-position model. The record is from RNAcentral.
GAUGAAGAACGUAGCGAAAUGCGAUAAGUAAUGUGAAUUGCAGAAUUCAGUGAAUCAUCGAAUCGUUGAACGCACAUUGCGCCCGCCAGUAUUCUGGCGGGCAUGCCUGUUCGAGCGUCAUUUCAACCCUCAGGCCCCCAGUGCCUGGUGUUGGGGAUCGGCCCAGCCUUCCUGUAAGGCCGCCGGCCCCGAAAUCUAGUGGCGGUCUCGCUGUAGUCCUCCUCUGCGUAGUAGCACAACCUCGCAGUUGGAACGCGGCGGUGGCCAUGCCGUUAAACACCCCACUUCUGAAAGUUGACCUCGGAUCAGGUAGGAAUACCCGCUGAACUUAAGCAUAUCAAUAAGCGGAGGA